Molecule: long non-coding RNA, 253 nt
Filed under: Actinidia chinensis (golden kiwifruit)
Lineage: Eukaryota; Viridiplantae; Streptophyta; Magnoliopsida; Ericales; Actinidiaceae
Description: long non-coding RNA (ACHI_LNC006148)
Source: RNAcentral
AGAAGACUUCAAGCACUGAAGAUCUCAAGAAUGAAGAACUUUUAUUAGGGUAUUUUUGUAAAACUCUUGUAUGGUUAAAUUCUUGAGACUCUAAAAUGACCUUAAUAUCCUUCAUGCAUUUUAAGAAUACAAAAAUGCAUUAAAAUUUAAAGUUCUUAAAAAUGUGCUAGCAAUAAUUCUUAUCUUUGAAAAUUUAAUUACAAUUUUAAAAAAUGGGCUAGUAAUAAUUUUUGAUUUUGAAAAUUUGAUUUCA